UGGGGAAUUUUGGACAAUGGGGGCAACCCUGAUCCAGCCAUGCCGCGUGUCUGAAGAAGGCCUUCGGGUUGUAAAGGACUUUUGUCGAGGAGCAAACCUCUGUGGUUAAUACCUACGGAGCUGAGAGUACUCGAAGAAUAAGCACCGGCUAACUACGUGCCAGCAGCCGCGGUAAUACGUAGGGUGCAAGCGUUAAUCGGAAUUACUGGGCGUAAAGCGUGCGCAGGCGGUUGCGUAAGUCUGAUGUGAAAUCCCCGGGCUCAACCUGGGAACUGCAUUGGAGACUGCGUAGCUAGAGUACGUCAGAGGGGGGUGGAAUUCCACGUGUAGCAGUGAAAUGCGUAGAGAUGUGGAGGAACACCGAUGGCGAAGGCAGCCCCCUGGGAUGAUACUGACGCUC
Molecule: ribosomal RNA, 400 nt
Filed under: uncultured bacterium
Lineage: Bacteria
Description: bacterial SSU rRNA
Rfam family: Bacterial small subunit ribosomal RNA
Source: RNAcentral